RNAcentral lists this ribosomal RNA (463 nucleotides) under uncultured bacterium. RNAcentral describes it as "partial 16S ribosomal RNA". It matches the Rfam family "Bacterial small subunit ribosomal RNA", at positions 28 to 507 of the family's 1533-position model. The record is from RNAcentral.
GACGAACGCUGGCGGCGUGCUUAACACAUGCAAGUCGAACGGAAAGGCCUUUUCGGAGGUACUCGAGUGGCGAACGGGUGAGUAACACGUGGGUGAUCUGCCCUGCGCUCUGGGAUAAGCCUGGGAAACUGGGUCUAAUACCGGAUAGGACCGCACUUUAGUGUGUGUGGUGGAAAGUUUUUUCGGUGUAGGAUGAGCCCGCGGCCUAUCAGCUUGUUGGUGGGGUAAUGGCCUACCAAGGCGGCGACGGGUAGCCGGACUGAGAGGUUGGUCGGCCACAUUGGGACUGAGAUACGGCCCAGACUCCUACGGGAGGCAGCAGUGGGGAAUAUUGCACAAGGGGCGCAAGCCUGAUGCAGCGACGCCGCGUGGGGGAUGACGGCCUUCGGGUUGUAAACUCCUUUCGCCAGGGACGAAGCGUUUUGUGACGGUACCUGGAGAAGAAGCACCGGCUAACUACGUG